AGCAGCCGCGGUAAUUCCAGCUCCAAUAGCGUAUAUUAAAGUUGUUGCAGUUAAAAAGCUCGUAGUUGAAUUUCGGGAUCAGUUGGUCGGUCGUGCCUCGGUACGUACUGGUCAAAUUGAUUCCUACCUUCUGACGAACCACGAUGUCAUUAAUUUGGUGUCGCGGGAAAUCAGGACUGUUACUUUGAAAAAAUUAGAGUGUUUAAAGCAGGCUCGCGCUUGAAUACAUUAGCAUGGAAUAAUGAAAUAGGACGUUUGAUUCUAUUUUGUUGGUUUCUAGGAUCGACGUAAUGAUUAAUAGGGAUAGUUGGGGGCAUUAGUAUUCAAUUGUCAGAGGUGAAAAUUCUUGGAUUUAUUGAAGACUAACUACUGCGAAAGCAUUUGCCAAGGAUGUUUUCAUUAAUCAAGAACGAAAGUUAGGGGAUCGAAGACGAUCAGAUACCGUCGUAG
RNAcentral lists this ribosomal RNA (450 nucleotides) under uncultured Glomeromycotina. Its description in RNAcentral is "SSU rRNA". It matches the Rfam family "Eukaryotic small subunit ribosomal RNA", at positions 569 to 1023 of the family's 1831-position model. Lineage: Eukaryota; Fungi; Glomeromycota. The record is from RNAcentral.